UGUCAUUCCCGGUGUCGUUAUUCCCGUUCCCAGCCGUCUCUCCCGGCGCUGUUGGUGACGGCCGGGAAGGAUCCGGUGCUGGCGCCCGCCCUCAGCCACGGCAUGGAGAGAUGGGUGCCGCGGCUGCAGCGGAGGCACAUCCAGGACUGCGGCCACUGGACCCAGCUGGAGAGGCCGGCCGAGGUGAACCGGAUCCUUCUGGAAUGGCUGGAGCAGCUCCCCCCGGAUCCUCCUUUUCCCGGGAAUUCCAAGCUUUGAGCGGGAAUUUCCCCCUUUGGAAUUUCCUUUGGGAAUUUUUCCCUUUGG
Molecule: non-coding RNA, 306 nt
Organism: Cyanistes caeruleus (blue tit)
Lineage: Eukaryota; Metazoa; Chordata; Aves; Passeriformes; Paridae
Source: RefSeq, a predicted model, not a curated record